RNAcentral lists this ribosomal RNA (235 nucleotides) under uncultured bacterium. Its description in RNAcentral is "partial 16S ribosomal RNA". It matches the Rfam family "Bacterial small subunit ribosomal RNA", at positions 524 to 756 of the family's 1533-position model. The record is from RNAcentral.
UACGUAGGGUGCAAGCGUUAAUCGGAAUUACUGGGCGUAAAGCGUGCGCAGGCGGUUUGGUAAGACAGAUGUGAAAUCCCCGGGCUCAACCUGGGAAUUGCAUUUGUGACUGCCCGACUAGAGUGUGUCAGAGGGGGGUAGAAUUCCACGUGUAGCAGUGAAAAUGCGUAGAGAUGUGGAGGAAUACCCGAUGGCGAAGGCAGCCCCCUGGGAUAACACUGACGCUCAUGCACGA